This 73-nucleotide transfer RNA is filed under the name Urocitellus parryii (Arctic ground squirrel). RNAcentral describes it as "Spermophilus parryii (Arctic ground squirrel) tRNA". It matches the Rfam family "tRNA". From Rfam's summary of the family: Transfer RNA (tRNA) molecules are approximately 80 nucleotides in length. RNAcentral also lists the same sequence under 2 other names. Lineage: Eukaryota; Metazoa; Chordata; Mammalia; Rodentia; Sciuridae. The record is from Rfam by way of RNAcentral.
GGAGAUGUAGUUCAAUGGUAGAGUUCUUGCCUAAGCCUGCAUGAGGCUCUGGAUUCAAUUUCCAGUAUCACAC